UACGUAGGGGGCUAGCGUUGUCCGGAAUCAUUGGGCGUAAAGCGCGUGUAGGCGGUCCGGUAAGUCCGCUGUGAAAGUCGAGGGCUCAACCCUCGAAUGCCGGUGGAUACUGUCGGGCUAGAGUACGGAAGAGGCGAGUGGAAUUCCUGGUGUAGCGGUGAAAUGCGCAGAUAUCAGGAGGAACACCGGUGGCGAAGGCGGCUUUCUGGACAGAUACCGACGCUGAGGCACGAAAGCUAGGGGAGCAAACAGG
RNAcentral lists this ribosomal RNA (253 nucleotides) under uncultured bacterium. Its description in RNAcentral is "partial 16S ribosomal RNA". It matches the Rfam family "Bacterial small subunit ribosomal RNA", at positions 524 to 776 of the family's 1533-position model. The record is from RNAcentral.